CUGUGACUUUUCCAGUGAUCCGAUCAGACCAAAGAGUUUGAGCCCCUCUUGUACAAACAACUUCUGUUUCUUUCAUCAUGCAAGUGUUUCCCACCCCAAUAAUGUCAUUUACAGCAUGCUCUCUAGGUCGAGCUUCCAAGCAAAUUGGUACAGUAUCUUCCCCUAUUUUCUUAUCAAAUACCCUAACUGAAAGAGAUGUACUGGAGGAACUGGAUGCCUUCACACUCCCAGAAUGCUCCACAUUGAUGCUACCAUCUCUUCCUGAAGAACCCAAAACCUUCUC
RNAcentral lists this unclassified non-coding RNA (283 nucleotides) under Hevea brasiliensis (rubber tree). Lineage: Eukaryota; Viridiplantae; Streptophyta; Magnoliopsida; Malpighiales; Euphorbiaceae. The record is from RNAcentral.